CCAUUGCACCCAUUUGAAUUCAUGAGAAGGAACUUCUCUUGAAUUUUUCCUCACGCCAAGCCCUCUCCAUGCCCCACUUUAAUGUGCUAUAUGAAUGGAUAAGGAUGAUUGGUUGGCCAUUCAAAUUCAAAAUAAUGUUUGAAUUUGAAUGGGCAAUCAAUCUUUGCACCUUAUCCCUUUUUUUACGCCCCAUUUAUUACAUGAGAAAAGGUUUCUCAUGAAAUCACUCCA
This 231-nucleotide long non-coding RNA is filed under the name Elaeis guineensis (African oil palm). RNAcentral's name for it is "long non-coding RNA (EGUI_LNC080758)". Lineage: Eukaryota; Viridiplantae; Streptophyta; Magnoliopsida; Arecales; Arecaceae. The record is from RNAcentral.